CCCUUAGCUCAGUUGGAUAGAGCAACGACCUUCUAAGUCGUGGGCCGCAGGUUCGAAUCCUGCAGGGCGCGCCA
RNAcentral lists this transfer RNA (74 nucleotides) under Escherichia coli. Its description in RNAcentral is "tRNA-Arg". It matches the Rfam family "tRNA". Rfam says of the family: Transfer RNA (tRNA) molecules are approximately 80 nucleotides in length. Their secondary structure includes four short double-helical elements and three loops (D, anti-codon, and T loops). The record is from RNAcentral. Lineage: Bacteria; Pseudomonadati; Pseudomonadota; Gammaproteobacteria; Enterobacterales; Enterobacteriaceae. RNAcentral also lists the same sequence under 1 other name.